Long non-coding RNA from Cryptomeria japonica (Japanese cedar), 2455 nucleotides. RefSeq lists it as uncharacterized. The transcript has 3 exons. Lineage: Eukaryota; Viridiplantae; Streptophyta; Pinopsida; Cupressales; Cupressaceae. The record is from RefSeq and is a predicted model, not a curated record.
GCUCACGGCUCUGCCAUACAUACCAUUUCUUUACAUCACAGCAGACAUGCAGAGCAUGCUAAUGCUUUGGAUGGAAGAUGCGAAUAAUAUGAAUCUGUUUUAUAGACUCUAGAAGCUUUUAAGCAAAUGUAAUUGGCAUGUGUUGAGCCAAAUCUCACGGCUGUUGGCAGCUUCCUACCUGCCUGUGCCAUUAUGGGAGCACUGGAACAACGUAUAUUCACCAAUCCAGUUUAUUUAAUGCCACAUCAACCGACUUCUUCUGAACAUCUUAUUAAUAGGGUUCAUGGGGUUUCAGCUGUUCUACUACCUGGGGGUGGAUUCCCUUAUAUCAGGGAAGGAUUGAUUUCUAACAGGGGAUUUUGUUAGAUAUUGCAGUUAUAAAUCCCGUGGCAACGAUGAAUGAAUCUUUAUAGAAUGCGCCAAAAUAGAGCUGCUGAAGCAUGGAUUGAACAUAUAUGAAAACAAAUAACCCUAAUACUUCACGUACAGAGAAAACCUACAAAAUGUUUGACAAAAUGCCUCGUAAAGAAUGAACACACAAGAAUGGUGCGCAAAGUAUUUGACGAAAUGUAUCCAGGAAAUUUAAGGAUUCCUGCGCAUACACUGAGUGGAUGUGUUGAGAGACUUUGGAAACUUCCAAUCAAAUGCCCAAUACAAUCUUUGCCUGUUCUAUGAUGGAAUUUUAGGGCAAAAUUUAAACAUAAAAGGCAUAAUACAGAGGAUUUUGUUCAGAUGUUAGCGUUGCAAGUGUCUAAAAAAGCGUACACAGAAUGUGAAAGCAUAGAUAAAGUGUGAAAUGUUAGAUAUAAUGUUUCAAAGCACUGUAGUCACAUUGAAUGUGCUGAACAAAUGGAUUCUUUUCAACCAAAUGCAAUCUUCGCCAGCAUUCUUCAUAGGUACUGUGAAGAGCAAUCUAAACGUCCAUCAAAGGAUCAAUGAUAGAGGAAUUCAUUCAAAUUUUGUAAUAGACAUGCUGUAGCUACCGAAAUGAACACGGUAUUCAAAAUAUGGGAGUACAGAGAAGGCUUGUAAACUGCUUGACUCCAUGUUUUAAUGGAAUAGUGAUUGCAAGGAUACACGAGCUUUAGCCAUGCCACUUUUGUGAUGAAGAUGAGCCAUUGUUUGUCGUCCAAGAUGAAUUGUUGCGAAGGGCAGCUGUUAGUAGUUUUCUUAAAGCUAACAUGUUCAGAAGUCACUACUAGAAGUUUGUUCAAAUUUAAGGGUUCGCCAUUCCUGUACAACAAAUUUUCAUCAAGGGAACUAUAUUCUUUUCCUAUGCAAAUCGAAAAUAUUAUUAGUUGAAAGGGAGAAGAAAGCUGUAAAACUCAUCUGACCGCUGCACAUGAACCGUUUGACAAAAUAUAUGCAUAUAGUGGAGGGUCAGAGCAAGCACAUGAAUUAUUCAACAAAAAUGUCUUUGAGAUUUUACAAUACAGGGCAAGCAGAUUCAUGGAGAUAUUAUCAGGCAUAUGCCUAGAUUCAAUCAAAUGGAUUACAAUCGGCUGGAUAAAGUUCAAAUGGUAUUAUGUAAUUUACUGAUUGCAAGAUAUUUUUAGGAUAGUUGUAAUAUUAACACGUUGAGACUGAUUCAUGAAAUUCAACUUAUUAGUAUGGAAUUCAAUUUGAUCACCACUGUAAAAAUUCUCCUGGCAUAGAUCAUAACAGGAACAUCGAAAUGGAGCGUGGACUUGUGUAAAAGGCUAGAAAUGUUUCACAAAAUGCUCUGAUAUGAUUUUCUUGAGCUGGAAUUCCCUGCAGCGAAGCCCUUCGAGAUCUUCGACAGGUGAAUUUCAUAUAUUUGCUAAAAAAUUCUUGUGAUUUCUAGGCUUUUAGAUCAUGCUCUAUGAUUUAUAGUGUUAAAAUCCAACACAAAAAUUGUUAUGUGUUCUUUGCAAUUUUUGCUUGACGCGUUGCCAUUUUGGAAUCGGUUAUUAUUUGCACAAAUUCUGCAUAUAAUGAGGUUUGUUUUAAAUAAAUUGAAAGUAAGACGAUUCCUGAAAAUUAAGAAUGGGAUUACAGUACGGAAAAUGUUUAUGAUCUGUUAUCAUGGCAGGAUGGGUGCCGAAAAUAAAGAUAAAAUCCAAUUUUAAGUCAGUCGAUAUCAGUGAAUGAUUGCAUUAUUGUUUAUCAUUUAAAUUUUGUUUGCAUAUUUGUCUAUAUAAUGUUCUGAAAUCAUUUAUUUCUAUGAAAACUCUGAAGUCAAUCCAACUGUUACAAAGAUCAAUCAGCACUAUUAUUUAUCAUUUAUUCUACAUAUUAUAUAAUGAAAUAUCCGUGUUUGUUUUGGAAACAUACAACACUAUCAUAUUCAGUUUCUUUAACUAGACUUGUUUUACAAGCAAUAAACAAAUGAUUCGGAAUAUCCGAUACUCCCAGUGAUAGGAAUGCUGCAUACAAAUUGAUUUCAAAUACACCAGAAAUGACAGAAUUUCAUAUUCAAACAUUGACAGAAUUU